AAUCGGCUCGGUCGUCGCAAAAUACCAAAGUCGAAACCAGAGGUCCGGUGCUCCUUGAAAUCGCCAUUCGAAUCUGUAAAACCACGUAAAACAAAUCCGUGUACGCUUGUAAUUAUGCACGUUUUCACCAUUGACGGUUCCAGGUUGUUCGCCCUCCUUCCCCAUUUGGCCUUUGUGCAUUUGUACAUAUAUUCAUAUAGUGACU
Non-coding RNA from Cinara cedri, 205 nucleotides. NCBI's taxonomy places the organism in Eukaryota, Metazoa, Arthropoda, Insecta, Hemiptera, Aphididae. The record is from the annotation of a GenBank genome assembly.